AAGGUUGGCUAAUCCUGGUCGGACAUCAGGAGGUUAGUGCAAUGGCAUAAGCCAGCUUGACUGCGAGCGUGACGGCGCGAGCAGGUGCGAAAGCAGGUCAUAGUGAUCCGGUGGUUCUGAAUGGAAGGGCCAUCGCUCAACGGAUAAAAGGUACUCCGGGGAUAACAGGCUGAUACCGCCCAAGAGUUCAUAUCGACGGCGGUGUUUGGCACCUCGAUGUCGGCUCAUCACAUCCUGGGGCUGAAGUAGGUCCCAAGGGUAUGGCUGUUCGCCAUUUAAAGUGGUACGCGAGCUGGGUUUAGAACGUCGUGAGACAGUUCGGUCCCUAUCUGCCGUGGGCGCUGGAGAACUGAGGGGGGCUGCUCCUAGUACGAGAGGACCGGAGUGGACGCAUCACUGGUGUUCGGGUUGUCAUGCCAAUGGCACUGCCCGGUAGCUAAAUGCGGAAGAGAUAAGUGCUGAAAGCAUCUAAGCACGAAACUUGCCCCGAGAUGAGUUCUCCCUGAGACUUUAGGUCUCCUGAAGGAACGUUGAAGACGACGACGUUGAUAGGCCGGGUGUG
This 562-nucleotide ribosomal RNA is filed under the name Salmonella enterica. Its description in RNAcentral is "partial 23S ribosomal RNA". It matches the Rfam family "Bacterial large subunit ribosomal RNA", at positions 2313 to 2869 of the family's 2925-position model. The record is from RNAcentral. Lineage: Bacteria; Pseudomonadati; Pseudomonadota; Gammaproteobacteria; Enterobacterales; Enterobacteriaceae.